Molecule: ribosomal RNA, 305 nt
Filed under: uncultured bacterium
Lineage: Bacteria
Description: partial 16S ribosomal RNA
Rfam family: Bacterial small subunit ribosomal RNA
Source: RNAcentral
ACAGCAGCCGCCGCGGUAAUACGUAGGUGGCGAGCGUUGUCCGGAAUUAUUGGGCGUAAAGGGAGCGCAGGCGGACAUAUAAGUCCAUCUUAAAAGUGCGGGGCUCAACCCCGUGAGGGGAUGGAAACUGUAUGCCUUGAGUGCAGGAGAGGAAAGCGGAAUUCCCAGUGUAGCGGUGAAAUGCGUAGAUAUUGGGAGGAACACCAGUGGCGAAGGCGGCUUUCUGGACUGUAACUGACGCUGAGGCUCGAAAGCCAGGGGAGCGAACGGGAUUAGAUACCCCCGUAGUCCCUGUCUCUUAUACA